GACGAACGCUGGCGGCGUGCUUAACACAUGCAAGUCGAACGGUGACCCAGGGCUUGCCCUGGUGAUCAGUGGCGAACGGGUGAGUAACACGUGGGCAACCUGCCCCUGACUUCGGGAUAACUCCUCGAAAGAGGAGCUAAUACCGGAUACGACCACUUCGGACAUCCGAUGGUGGUGGAAAGUUUUUCGGUCAGGGAUGGGCCCGCGGCCUAUCAGCUAGUUGGUGGGGUAAUGGCCUACCAAGGCGACGACGGGUAGCCGGCCUGAGAGGGCGACCGGCCACACUGGGACUGAGACACGGCCCAGACUCCUACGGGAGGCAGCAGUGGGGAAUAUUGCGCAAUGGGCGAAAGCCUGACGCAGCGACGCCGCGUGAGGGAUGAAGGCCUCGGGUUGUAACCGUACUUUCUAGCAGGACGAAGCGAAAGUAGACGGUAACCUGCAGAAGAAGACACCGGCGUAAC
Molecule: ribosomal RNA, 464 nt
Filed under: uncultured bacterium
Lineage: Bacteria
Description: bacterial SSU rRNA
Rfam family: Bacterial small subunit ribosomal RNA
Source: RNAcentral